GCCUGGAAAUUGCCCUUUCUAUGCUGCAAUAGCGAAGCCACCUUGCAUUAAGCGGUGUACUACAGAUUAUGAUUGUCCUUCCGUCCAGAAAUGCUGCCCAAAAUUUUGCUCCAUGGUCUGUGAAAACCCAAGUAAGAUGCUGAGCCCCUUGUGGAUGCUUUAUUGUAAUUUAUUGCGCCCCCCCUUUUCCUUCACUAUGGGCUCCCAGUGUGUGUUGCAGUUUGAAACUGCAGUUAAAACAAAUUGCAGUCUCAGGAAUAGAGUUGUUCCCCCAAAAUGUAGAUAUCUAUCAGGUAGGAACAACAUAAUGAGGGUGCCAGACACACCUCUGUGGGAAGGGAGUUCCCCCAACUUAGGGGCUGCCCCAGAGAUGACUUUGUCAGGGUGGAGGAACUGCCAAGAGAGCCCGCCUGCUGAUGUUUACUCCCAAGAGAGUCCGCAAGUAUGGAGAAGCUCUCUCAGAUAGUUGGUGCCUACGUUAUUUAGGGCAUUAGACAUUAAUGCAGGCACCUUGAAUGGAGUCAGGAAAGGAACUAGGUGGGCUGAAGACAGCAGUUCUGCACAAAUUGUCCAAGUUUUGCUCAAGGAGGGAUGCCUGUUGCCUCUGAACUGACAGCUAAGAGAUGGUCCAUAAUUAUGACAUGGGAACAGGGGGAUGGGGCCAAGGCUCUGUCAGUGAGCACCUUGGUCCCAGGCUCCAUCUGGGCAUCUCCAGGUAAGGAAAACCCUUGUCAUCUGCUUAGCUAGGGUGAUGAGCACCGAUCUCUCUAGGGUUCUUGGAUGCCUGAACACUCUUUUAUUCCUGCAGCAAAGUGAUGACAGUGAUGCACAGCCUGAAAUCCCUGCAACUUCUACAGUUUUGGAGAUGUGAACCCAGCACCCAAGGAGUGAAGGCAACGAUAAACCCAGCUCCCUCUUGACCCAAUGGGCCCGAUCCAGCUUCCUUCCCUGCCUGCAAUAAAAUGAUCCCUGUGCCUGCA
Molecule: non-coding RNA, 980 nt
Organism: Podarcis lilfordi (Lilford's wall lizard)
Lineage: Eukaryota; Metazoa; Chordata; Lepidosauria; Squamata; Lacertidae
Source: the annotation of a GenBank genome assembly